Neopelma chrysocephalum (saffron-crested tyrant-manakin) is the source of this 101-nucleotide long non-coding RNA. RefSeq lists it as uncharacterized. The record is from RefSeq and is a predicted model, not a curated record. The transcript has 3 exons. Lineage: Eukaryota; Metazoa; Chordata; Aves; Passeriformes; Pipridae.
AGAGCUGACAUCUGAGCCGUAAGUCUGAAGGGCCAAGCAAAGCAUCCCAUAGGGAAGUCUCUUGAAUUUUCUAUAGCCACAGAGAACAUCAAAUUUUCUCC